AGAGCGAACGCUGGCGGCGUGCUUAACACAUGCAAGUCGAACGCGCAGCAGUUUGUAGCAAUACAGAUUGUGGGCGCGUGGCGAACGGGUGCGUAACACGUGGAUAACCUUCCUUCAGGUGGGGAAUAACCCAGUGAAAAUUGGGCUAAUACCGCAUAACAUGACGAUGGCACAUGCCGUUGUCUUCAAAGGCGCAAGUCGCCAGAAGAGGGAUCCGCGGCCGAUUAGCUAGUUGGCGAGGUAAUGGCUCACCAAGGCAAUGAUCGGUAGCCGGACUGAGAGGUUGGCCGGCCACACUGGAACUGAGACACGGUCCAGACUCCUACGGGAGGCAGCAGUGGGGAAUCUUGCACAAUGGACGAAAGUCUGAUGCAGCAACGCCGCGUGGGGGAUGAAGCUUUCGGAGUGUAAACCCCUUUCGACCCGGAAGAAGCCGCAAGGGUUGACGGUACGGGUAUAAGAAGCCCGGCUAACUACGUGCCAGCAGCCG
Molecule: ribosomal RNA, 490 nt
Filed under: uncultured bacterium
Lineage: Bacteria
Description: SSU rRNA
Rfam family: Bacterial small subunit ribosomal RNA
Source: RNAcentral